RNAcentral lists this ribosomal RNA (894 nucleotides) under Ramaria sp. RNAcentral describes it as "eukaryotic LSU rRNA". It matches the Rfam family "Eukaryotic large subunit ribosomal RNA", at positions 78 to 947 of the family's 3401-position model. The record is from RNAcentral. Lineage: Eukaryota; Fungi; Basidiomycota; Agaricomycetes; Gomphales; Gomphaceae.
CCCUAGUAACGGCGAGUGAAGCGGGAAGAGCUCAAAUUUGAAAUCUGGCAGCCUUAUGGCCGUCCGAGUUGUAGUCUGGAGAAGCGUUUUCUGCAUCGGACCGUGUACAAGUCCCUUGGAACAGGGCGUCGCAGAGGGUGAGAAUCCCGUCUUUGACACGGACUGCCGGUGCUUUGUGAUGCGCUCUCGAAGAGUCGAGUUGUUUGGGAAUGCAGCUCAAAACGGGUGGUAAAUUCCAUCUAAAGCUAAAUAUUGGCAAAAGACCGAUAGCGAACAAGUACCGUGAGGGAAAGAUGAAAAGCACUUUGGAAAGAGAGUUAAACAGUACGUGAAAUUGUUGAAAGGGAAACGCUUGAAGUCAGUCGCGUCUCCCUGGGACUCAGCCUUGCUUUUUUCCGCUUGGCGUAUUUCCUGGGAUUUGACGGGCCAGCGUCGAUUUCGACCGUCGGAGAAAGGCCUUGGGAAUGUGGCACCUUCGGGUGUGUUAUAGCCCUCGGUCAUAUGCGACGGUCGGGAUCGAGGAUCGCAGCACGCCUUUUCGGCCGGGGUUCGCCCACGUAACGUGCUUAGGAUGCUGGCGUAAUGGCUUUAAGCGACCCGUCUUGAAACACGGACCAAGGAGUCUAACAUGCCUGCGAGUGUUUGGGUGCAAAACCCGGACGCGAAAUGAAAGUGAAAGGUUGGGACCUCUGUCGUGGAGGGCACCGACGCCCGGACCAGACCUUUUGUGACGGCUCCGAGGUGGAGCAUGCAUGUUGGGACCCGAAAGAUGGUGAACUAUGCCUGAGUAGGGUGAAGCCAGAGGAAACUCUGGUGGAGGCUCGUAGCGAUUCUGACGUGCAAAUCGAUCGUCGAACUUGGGUAUAGGGGCGAAAGACUAAUCGAACCAUCUAG